AGUAUUUAUCCACAGGAUGUGUCAUUAUCUGGAAAUAAAAGCAGAGCUUUGGACAGCUGAAGUAGAGGAGUUUUCGGCGGACACAACAUCUUUGUUUGUAUGUGGUGCUGAGGAUCGAACCCAGGCCGCACGCAUGCCAGAGAUGAAAAGCAAAAGGCACCUGGGAGUGGUGGCGCCAGCCUGGAGUUCCAGGAGGCUGAAGCAGGAGGCCCACUUGAGACCCGAAUUCAGUGUUCCUG
This is a long non-coding RNA of Marmota monax (woodchuck), 239 nucleotides long. RefSeq lists it as uncharacterized. The transcript has 3 exons. NCBI's taxonomy places the organism in Eukaryota, Metazoa, Chordata, Mammalia, Rodentia, Sciuridae. The record is from RefSeq and is a predicted model, not a curated record.